CCUACGGAGAGCUGCAGUGGGGAAUAUUGGACAAUGGGCGAAAGCCUGAUCCAGCCAUGCCGCGUGUGUGAAGAAGGCCUUCGGGUUGUAAAGCACUGUCAGUGGGGAAGAAAGCCUUUGGGCUAAUACCCUCGAGGAAGGACAUCACCCACAGAAGAAGCACCGGCUAACUCCGUGCCAGCAGCCGCGGUAAUACGGAGGGUGCGAGCGUUAAUCGGAAUUACUGGGCGUAAAGCGCGCGUAGGCGGUCUGAUAAGCCGGUUGUGAAAGCCCCGGGCUCAACCUGGGAACGGCAUCCGGAACUGUCAGGCUAGAGUGCAGGAGAGGAAGGUAGAAUUCCAGGUGUAGCGGUGAAAUGCGUAGAGAUCGGGAGGAAUACCAGUGGCGAAGGCGGCCUUCUGGACUGAAACUGACGCUGAGGUGCGAAAGCGUGGGUAGCAAACAGGAUUAGAUACCCGGGUAGUC
RNAcentral lists this ribosomal RNA (465 nucleotides) under Vreelandella stevensii. RNAcentral describes it as "partial 16S ribosomal RNA". It matches the Rfam family "Bacterial small subunit ribosomal RNA", at positions 338 to 795 of the family's 1533-position model. The record is from RNAcentral. Lineage: Bacteria; Pseudomonadati; Pseudomonadota; Gammaproteobacteria; Oceanospirillales; Halomonadaceae.